Molecule: RNA transcript, 2267 nt
Organism: Arachis stenosperma
Lineage: Eukaryota; Viridiplantae; Streptophyta; Magnoliopsida; Fabales; Fabaceae
Exons: 3
Source: RefSeq, a predicted model, not a curated record
UAAUUUUAUUACCCAUUCUCACAUUAACCCUAACUAAACACAACACACCCCUACUCCCCAACCCUAGCCGCCACUAACUCCCUUCCCCCAAUCACACACACGGCAGAAAGAAAGAAAAGAGAGGAGAGGGAAAAAAUGAGAAGAGGAGAGGGAAGGAGGGAAACACGCCAGCGUCGGUGGGCCUCGUCACCGCCAUCGCCGCCAUACCAACUGGGAGAGAGAGAGAGAGAGAGAGAGAGUUCGCAGAGGAGAGAGCCAGAGGAGAGGAAGAAUGGCGCUGUCCCGCCAUUCCUCAUCACGGGUGAAGCUCGUCGCCACCGCUGCUGCUGUCUGCGCUGUCAUCAUCGUCGAGAGAAGUUGUCGUCGUCGUCCUCAUCUGAACCAGUGCCAUCGCUACUAGCUUCCACCAUCGUUGAGGUUGUUGCAAAUGGGAGAGGAUGAAGCUGCCUCUGUCGCCGCCAUGGGGAGCUGAGUCUCGUCGCCGUCAUCGUUGCAAGAGGCAUUGUUGUUGUUGUCGGGUCCAGCCACCGCUAUCAUGCGUUCCGCCGCCACUACUGGAGAGGCGUUGCUGAGCCUCUACCGCCGGAAAAUGGCACUGUCGUCGCCGAGAUUCACUGCCAAUAAGAGUUUUGUAUUUGGUUUCCAUUCUUUUGAAUUCCAGGAAGAUUAUUGUUGCUGCAUGGUUGUCACAGUUGCUGUCACCGAGCUUCUGGUCGCCACUGUUGUUUGGGAUAGUUGUUGGAGCUGCAGCCAGAUCGGUGCUUUUUUCUUUUACUACAGAAAGUAUCUCUGUCUCAAAACCCUCGUCAAAUAAGCGGAAUUGUGGAUGCAGCCGCUACUGUUGCGAGCCAUGGGAAAAAGGGACUUAUCACGUUAGAAUCGUUGCAAGCUUGAUUCCUCGAGAUUUUCUUUUCAGUGACACGUUUAGGAAGCUAAGCUUUGGCCCGGAGCCACACCGAUCUUCAAAGCUUUAUAUAUGUUGUAUUUUCUAUUUGUUAGUUUAGUUGAGAUUUUUUACCCUUCGUCGUUUGUCAUCUAAGAUUUUUAGAAGGGCUGAACUUGUAUUUGAGAAAGAUUGAAUAAGUUUAUAUAUUUAUUAUUAUGUAGAUAUAAUUAUGUAAUUAUGUGGUUUAAAUUAAAGUCUUUUGGUUUUCAUAAUUAAUAACUUUGAUUAUAUUCGCAAAUGCUCAAUAUUAAAUAAAUAUAAUAUGAAAUCAGAGUAGAGGUAGGUAACGCCAGGACUUUUAGUGCGAUAAUGAGGUGUUAAAAGUUAUAGCGUACAUGGUGGUGAUGGCGGUGAUGGCGGCCGAGGAUGUGAACAACUAGGUGCAAAUGGAGGAGACGUCACUGAAGCACCAUUGAAUGAGCCGCUUGACAUAUGGUGCAUGGAAAAGUACACGUCACUCACUGUGUUCUUCCACUAGCUGAAUUCCACAUACCGUAUGUCGACAGUCUGUUAGAGAUGAGUGAUCUCCCUCUCGUACCACAGACGAGCAUGCCUCUAUGCCUUCUGCUCAUGCUAGUGCCUACAACACUGUAUUGCUCCAACUGUUGUGUCAGCCUAUUGAAUAGGGUAACCUGCUCCCUAAGGCAAGCCAAGACACUAGCUCAUCAACAUUAGAGAAACACAAAAUAUGGUAGUGAAAAUGUGUUAUAUCUUGUACACCCUCCCCGACUUGCGUUUGCCUACUGUCUACGUUCACAAAGUAUCCUCCGAGACUGGCGGGGUUCUAGGCCCCUCUCAAGUCUCGAGGAUCUGGGUCGCAUUGUCCAUGUGGGCUUUCACUACUGUCUCCUUAAAGAGGCGCUUAAUUAAUAGUGGAGAAGUUUUAGCAUUAUUUAAUUAUAUACACUUAAUUUGAAUAAUUGUUAGGAUGUAAAACUCAAGGCGGUCCUCCUUCUUGGUGUGGGUCCUCUCAAAUGGCUAUCUCUAAUAAGGUGGUGUCAAGCUCACCCUCUUUUCAAUACAAAUAAAAAAAACUUGAAGUCAUUAGACAUUGUAUAUGUAAAUGAUAAAGCAAAAUGAUCGCUAACACAAUUAAUUCACAUAGCUUUAAAUCAUUUGAUAUCUUAACUAAUACUAACCAUUUUUUGGCCAUUGUAGCAUAAGUGAUGGAUCCUGCAUAGUGCAAAGAUCCUCCAUAUGCUAGAUGCCCUUAGGAGUGUUAUCGAUUCGGUUUGGUUCGGUUUUGGACAAAAAACCAACCGAAUCGAUAUGUUCGGUUCUUACAGACACACAACUAUUCAGUUUGCUAUUUUGUUGGUUU